UGCUCGAAUACUCCCGCGCAAUGGGUUUCAAGGUUUUUAAGGCCUUCUCGACGGAGCGAUUCCAAUCUUACGUAGGAUUUCUCGAGAAUUUACAGCCUUGUACCUGAAAUUCCCAAGUUGUCUUCCAAGUUAUUUCAGGGCUAUCUUUGUGAAAUCUGUGGUCUAAUUGGCCUGUUCUGAUUUUAGAGUUCUGGGGAAAGAAGCAUUCAUGCUUAGCUACAUAAUACUAGAACGAAAACCUUGUAUUGGGACUUAUGCACGGGUGUGAGGGACUUAUGUUAGUUGUGGGGUCGAGGCCGGGACAACCAUGUUUGGGAUUCCCCAGCACAACGUUUCCAGCCUUGCGUUUCCUUUGUAAUUUUUUCUGGACCAAGGGGAACACACGAUAUAUAUGUGCUUAUCUCUUGGGAUACUUGAGCUGAGAGGAGCGUGACAUCCUUGCAUUUAUUCUGGAGUCGAGAGGGCGCAUAGCAGCCCUGCCGGGUCACUUCUCGGCACCAGUUUUUUAGCCCUGUUCGGGUGCCACAUUUCCAGCCCUACUGGGUCACCUCUCGGUACCGGUUUUUCAGCCCUGCUCGGGGUGCAUUUUCAGCUCUUCCGGCUUUCCUCUCACAGUAGAUUUCCAGCCUUGCUCGGGUCUCCUCACGUAACGGGUUUUCAGCCGUGCUCAGAGCCAUCUUUAAGAAAUCUUUGACGCUCAGGUGCAUGCAACACUGACUAGGGAUAAUCAGUACCAGAUCAUCUUGGUAGGGAAUCUACUGUUUUGAGAACAUCCUCAUCUAUAUUGCUGCUUUUUACCACUUAUUGCUCACCGGGCAAGUGAAGGGAACCAGUUUGGUGAUGAUUGGUUCGAUUGGGUUCAUGCCGAAUCUCAAAGUUAGCUGAGUAGUUUGGAGCAUCUGUAUCUUGUUCCCGACACUCACUUGGAUGUAUUGCCUCGUGGGAGACCAGCAAGAUAGAGCAAAGAUGUCGAGUUCAUUGAGAAUGUUGCAGCAUUGUCUGAACAAGAUGAUAUUGUGAAAGAUAAAAUUAUCGGGCUGUUGGUGUACAGAAAUUGGGCAUAUUCAACAAACAUGUGCUGUUAGAAUAUUGUAUUUGUGCAAAAGGUUCACUGAGGGAAUUUAUUAUGUUUAAAUCUGAAUAUAUACUCUUUCAGACUUUGGAACUUCAAGAUUUUUUCUUUCUCUC
RNAcentral lists this long non-coding RNA (1188 nucleotides) under Salvia miltiorrhiza (redroot sage). Its description in RNAcentral is "long non-coding RNA (SMIL_LNC008721)". The record is from RNAcentral. Lineage: Eukaryota; Viridiplantae; Streptophyta; Magnoliopsida; Lamiales; Lamiaceae.